AGACACCCUUAUGGGGCAGGACUUGCUUUAGUGAGGCUUUGGUGCUCACUGAAUCUGCCCCUUGAGUGUGUCACU
This 75-nucleotide microRNA precursor is filed under the name Myotis brandtii (Brandt's bat). RNAcentral's name for it is "mir-9229 microRNA precursor family". It matches the Rfam family "mir-9229 microRNA precursor family". The record is from Rfam by way of RNAcentral. Lineage: Eukaryota; Metazoa; Chordata; Mammalia; Chiroptera; Vespertilionidae.